This 516-nucleotide long non-coding RNA is filed under the name Equus asinus (donkey). RNAcentral's name for it is "lncRNA (ENSEASG00005026205.1)". The record is from RNAcentral. Lineage: Eukaryota; Metazoa; Chordata; Mammalia; Perissodactyla; Equidae.
AGAGCAGAAUCUCAGGUGGCACAAGCCUGAGUGAACCGCCAUUUUGGAGAGGGGCCCACAUGUGAGGGAACAGCAGAUGGUAUCUAUCAGCUGAAGGCCAGAGUCCAAAAACCACAAGGAAUUGAAUUCCGCGAACAACCACAUGUUCUGAGAAGAGGAUCAAGAGCCUCCAGCCCUGACCAGCACCUCCAAUGCAGCCUUGUAGGCCCUGAACAGAGGAUCCAGUUAACGUGUACCUGUAACCUCAGAAGUGGACUGUAUCGAGUGCUGUGGAUGAGAAGUCUGAUGCCACUUUGAUCAUUCCUCUCCUCUUACAGGUGAGAUUCAAGCCCUGUCAUGUGAAUAUUCUCAACUUUUCUCCUCUCAAACUAUCCUGAAGAAAAGAAGGCAUCAAGCUGACAAGCUUGGCCCCCAAACAAAUCCUUAGUAACCAGAAGAGAUUGGUAAUUCCAAUUAAAUUGUGAUGCCUGAUAAUCACAUUUUGCUCAUGUUCAGCCUUCUAUGGCUUCAUAGAGG